GAUGAACGCUGGCGGCGUGCCUAACACAUGCAAGUCGAGCGGACGGACGAGGCUUUCGCUUCGCUGAAGUUACCGACGGGCGGGUAAGUAAUAGGUGUAUAACCGAUCUUUAAGACUGAGGUCACUUCACGGAAGCGGAUCUCACACCGGAUCAUAUUUUGAACGGGAUGGUUCUACAGUGAUAGCCGUUUUUGCUGACCCUAAUAGAUGUAUCCGCGCUGGAUUAGUUAGGUGGUAGGGUAACGGCCUACCAAGGCGACGAUGCGUAGCCGACCUGAGAGGAUGAUCGGCCACACUGGAACUGAGACACGGUCCAGACUCCUACGGGAGGCAGCAGUAGGGAAUCUUCGGCAAUGGGCGAAAGCCUGAUGGAGCAACGCCGCGUGAGUGAUGAAGGUCUUCGGAUCGUAAAGCUCUGUUAGUAGGGAGGAACGUAUGUAUGAUAAAAUGUUGAUGUUUUGACGGUACCUACACAAAAAGCCACGGCUAACUACGUG
This 497-nucleotide ribosomal RNA is filed under the name uncultured bacterium. RNAcentral describes it as "partial 16S ribosomal RNA". It matches the Rfam family "Bacterial small subunit ribosomal RNA", at positions 28 to 507 of the family's 1533-position model. The record is from RNAcentral.